Molecule: transfer RNA, 70 nt
Filed under: Ictidomys tridecemlineatus (thirteen-lined ground squirrel)
Lineage: Eukaryota; Metazoa; Chordata; Mammalia; Rodentia; Sciuridae
Description: Spermophilus tridecemlineatus (thirteen-lined ground squirrel) tRNA
Rfam family: tRNA
About the family: Transfer RNA (tRNA) molecules are approximately 80 nucleotides in length. Their secondary structure includes four short double-helical elements and three loops (D, anti-codon, and T loops).
Source: Rfam by way of RNAcentral
GGAUGUAACUUAAUGGUAUAGCACUUGCCUAACAUGCAUGAGGCCCUGGGUUCAAUCCCCAGUACAGCCA